GACGAACGCUGGCGGCGUGCUUAACACAUGCAAGUCGAGCGGUAAGGCCCUUUCGGGGGUACACGAGCGGCGAACGGGUGAGUAACACGUGGGUGACCUGCCCUCAGCUCUGGGAUAAGCCUGGGAAACCGGGUCUAAUACCGGAUAUGACUCCAUGACGCAUGUUGUGGGGUGGAAAGCCUUGUGCGGCUGAGGAUGGGCCCGCGGCCUAUCAGCUUGUUGGUGGGGUGANGGCCUACCAAGGCGACGACGGGUAGCCGGCCUGAGAGGGCGACCGGCCACACUGGGACUGAGACACGGCCCAGACUCCUACGGGAGGCAGCAGUGGGAAUCUUGCGCAAUGGGCGAAAGCCUGACGCAGCGACGCCGCGUGAGGAAUGACGGCC
Molecule: ribosomal RNA, 386 nt
Filed under: uncultured bacterium
Lineage: Bacteria
Description: bacterial SSU rRNA
Rfam family: Bacterial small subunit ribosomal RNA
Source: RNAcentral